GACGAACGCUGGCGGCGUGCUUAACACAUGCAAGUCGAACGGAAAGGCCCUGCUUUUGUGCGGUGCUCGAGUGGCGAACGGGUGAGUAACACGUGAGUAACCUGCCCUUGACUUUGGGAUAACUUCAGGAAACUGGGGCUAAUACCGGAUAGGAGCUCCUGCUGCACGGGGGGGGGUGGAAAGUUUCGGCGGUUGGGGAUGGACUGGCAGCUUAUCAGCUUGUUGGGGGGGUAGUGGCUUACCAAGGCUUUGACGGGUAGCCGGCCUGAGAGGGUGACCGGCCACAUUGGGACUGAGGUACGGCCCAGACUCCUACGGGAGGCAGCAGUGGGGAAUAUUGCACAAUGGGCGGAAGCCUGAUGCAGCGACGCCGCGUGCGGGAUGACGGCCUUCGGGUUGUAAACCGCUUUCGCCUGUGACGAAGCGUUAGUGACGGUAAUGGGUAAAGAAGCACCGGCUAACUACGUG
Molecule: ribosomal RNA, 468 nt
Filed under: uncultured bacterium
Lineage: Bacteria
Description: partial 16S ribosomal RNA
Rfam family: Bacterial small subunit ribosomal RNA
Source: RNAcentral